Delphinapterus leucas (beluga whale) is the source of this 107-nucleotide small nuclear RNA. NCBI's taxonomy places the organism in Eukaryota, Metazoa, Chordata, Mammalia, Artiodactyla, Monodontidae. The record is from Ensembl.
GUGCUCGCUUUGGCAGCAUAUAUACUAAAAUUAUAACAAUACAGAGAAGAUUAGCACGGCCCCUGCGCAAGGAUGACACGCAAAUUCGUGAAGCAUUCCAUAUUUUU